Juglans regia (Persian walnut) is the source of this 2239-nucleotide long non-coding RNA. RefSeq lists it as uncharacterized. The record is from RefSeq and is a predicted model, not a curated record. Lineage: Eukaryota; Viridiplantae; Streptophyta; Magnoliopsida; Fagales; Juglandaceae. The transcript is spliced from 5 exons.
UCUGUUUGGAAUCAAACCAGGCUCAUAAACCCUCCGCAGGCGAACGCCCAGCACUCUCUCGGAACUCGAUCCGAAAGCAAAAUGUGGCGAACCAUUUCGACCCCCACCUCAGAGCACUGGGUCUCUUCCCUUCAUCCACGCAAUCUUCCUUCUCACUCAAAGCCCUGUCGAAAAUCCUCACAGUUACCCCCGAGUCUCACACUCUAUACGUCCCCAAAGCCCUCAUCUUCCGCACAAUCGACGCACCCUCCGUCUCCUCGAUCCCCGGCCUGGGAAUCCGCGGUCUCGGUUCGAUCGUCGUGCGAUGCAUUUCCUCUGACUCUCCGGCGCCCACAUUGGAUUGGAACGACCCGGUGUCGUGCUCGGAGGUCGGCAACGGAGACAAUGGCAGCAUGGAGGUGGAUACUUACCAUCUAUUCUUGUCAGAGACUAUUUCUUCUUCUCUACUAGUGUGUGAGAAGUUAAUGGAACAUCAAUUUUAUUCUGCCAACAUUGCGAAAGACUGAUUAGUGUGUUCUUAAGUUCAACAUCGGGGCUUGGCUUUGUGGUAUGAGACUAAUCAACUGGAAGAGCUUGCCAGGAUGGCUUGGUAAGCAAGCAAGCAGGCGCCAACUCCCAGUUCUUUCUCUUCUCUUUUUUUUGGGCCCCCUGUGAACAUAGGAAUUGGAUGGAUGACUCACUCUCUCUUGAAUCUUUGUGAGACCAUUGGUUUGAGUGCUUCCUUAGGUGAAGUAACUGCUGUACAUGGUAGUUUUUCAGUAUGGGUCCAUUGUCUUGUUUAAUGCCCACGAAGAUGACGUUGAUGACUAUUUGAAAGUUGUAGAAAAAUAAGCAUUGCGAUUACUGCCCAAAACGAGAAAGGACGGUCUUCCCUCAUCACUUAAUUAUCAGUUUUGGUGGAGAUUUAAUUUCAGCAGAUGCAUUAGACAUUUUGAUGAACUCUAGAUCAAAAGAUUGGAUCAGAUUCAUCUUGUUUGGAGGACUCAGCAUAAUCCAUACACAAGAGGAGAGAGUGUUUGGGCAAAUUAGGGAUAACAGUGUCAAAUGCAUUAUGUUUGGAUGAUGUUGGAUUCUGUAAGCCAUUGCAAAUGAGUGAUCUCCUUGAAAACAUCACAAGUAUCCUUGUUUUUUUAUAAUUGCAGGAUCCUCACACUCACUAAGGCUUUAUUCCUCUCUCUUUAUUUAUUCCAUUCUCUCUCACUAGACUAUUGCUUAAAAAGCAAAACGAGUUUGUGCACUUGUCUGAUUGUCCCGCAAUUUGGGUGAUAGAGUUUUGGAAUGUUUUUGGUGGGGGCUUCCCUUUCACUCUGAUUCCCCACUUAAGCUUUUAUAAUUUGUAAUACAAAGUAGUUGUGAAGCAUGCUGUGUGUUAAGAAAGUACAUCUCGAAGAUUUCUGGUGUAAUAAAACAGAUCUAAAGAGAGUUUAUUCUUUCAGUACUAAUAGUUAGAUUUUCUGUUUUAAACCUCCAAGUCAAGGAGGAGCAAGAUCAAGAAGCAGGUGUAGCACUGUAACACAGCCUGGAGGCAUCUCAAGCUGCCGUCUCAGCUUCUUGAAUCGUGCAGCACUGAAAACUGAAAGCGACAGACAAUCAGACGACUCGUAUGCAAGAUCAUGGAGGCUAUGUACCAUGGAAGAAGUGGCUGACCUCAAAAUUAUGCCACUUUGGUCUACUAAAAUUUUAUUAGGUACCGCAAUAGGUAUCUUUGGUAGCCUCAAUACUCCAAGCCUUAACCAUGAAUCGACACCUUGGGUCCCAUUUCAAAAUCCCAGUUGCAUCAUUCCUUUUCUUCAACCAGCUAUUAGGAACGGCCAUCUCAAUCUUCAUCAUUGACCAUUUCCUCCUCCCCACGUGGCAAAAUCUCACUCAUCAAUCUUUGAUACCCGUCCAACGUAUCGGAGUUGGCUAUGAGGGGGAUAAAAUAUACAGCUCAUGGCUAAAUUCAGCCCACCAAGUCAAACUAGAGGACAAAAUAGAGAGGAGGGGAGUGAGAGACGAGAGGACCACGAGUCAAGAGUGUAAGAGAAUGGUGUAAAAAAAAAGUGAAAAAAUAGAGGCUUGUUCAGACACGCAAAGGGACCAAUUACCUCUUGGCAGACAGGCACGCGCAAUGGAGGCUAGGUCAAAUAGAAGCAAAGGGUCAGAGGACUAAUGAACUCUCUUCUUCUUCUUCAACCUCUAGAGGAAGACAUCUUCUCCAGCAGGAAGAGUUCUAGUUUUCUUUAUAUAGUAAAAAAUG